Molecule: long non-coding RNA, 1682 nt
Organism: Canis lupus familiaris (dog)
Lineage: Eukaryota; Metazoa; Chordata; Mammalia; Carnivora; Canidae
Exons: 2
Source: RefSeq, a predicted model, not a curated record
CUCAGGAAGAGACAUCAACCCAUGGCACCCUGACGCCAACCCUCCAAUGACUGCAUUUCACUCAAAGUCAAAAAAGCCAGUCCUCAAAAUGCUGACAAGGCCCUAAUGCUUCUGAUGCCUCAUGUCACCUCGGAUCCCAUUGCCUGUCACCUCCUCUGGGACUUCCCUCCAGCCACACUUGUCCGCUUGCUAAUCUACACCAGGCAACCUCGCCUGUAAGAUCACCAGCAUCUGGGUUCACCAGGGACUGACAAAUUGUCUAGGAUGCAAAGACCUUUGGUGCUAAAUACCAGCCUCCCACUACUACCGCACUGAUGGCACCCGACACCAGACGUGUGCGGCCUUUGCCCCAUCAAGCGAUUCUCUGCCAUGCCAGCUGUGUGUCCUACAAUUUAACUCAAAUCUGACACUAGCUGAAUGGAGACAGCAUCACAUCCCACAGGUCAAGACUCCCAGACUUCCCCCUCCCCCUCCUGCAGACACCAGCUGCAAGUCCAGCUGGUCACCUGUGCCCUGGCCAACCAGCUGCAGAUCUGAGGUGCCCACGAACCCCUCCCUCCCUCAGGUUUGAUUAAUUUACUAGAGUGCUUCACAGAACUCAGGAAAACAGUUUACCUCCCACAUGAUCAGUGUUUUCAUGAAAGGCUACAACUCAAGAAACGGAUGAGAUGAAGAAGACAGGGUAUGUGGGAAGGGUGGGGAGCCAUGCUUUCUCCAGGCACACCCCUCUCCCUGCACCUCCACGUGUUCACUGGCCCGAAAGUUCCCAAACCUCUUACACUUGAGACUUUUCUGGAGGCUUCACCAUGUAGUCAUAUCACCCAUUAACUCAACUUGCAGCCUCUGUAUGGAGAGCCAGGAGUAGGGCUGCAAAUUCUAAGCUUCUCAUCGUGGUUUGGUGUUUCUGACAACAGUCCGCAUCCAGUCACUGGAAUGUCUCUUGGUAACCAAGAGACAUUCCAAGAGACAUUCCAAUCACCCAGGAAACUCCAUGGGAUUCAGGGACUCGGUGCCGGAAUCAGGGAUAGACAUCAAUGUACAUAUUAUCUGUUAUUUCAUCAAACCCCAAGAGAGUUAGAGGUGGGGGCACAGAAAUAAAAUGUCCUGCAAGGAGAGUGUCAUGUGCUAAGAGACAUAAUCCCUCCUUGGCAAGGCUCUUGGGAGGAGAGUCUGAGAUAACAGCCUUGAAGCACACUGCCUAAUGCCUGGCAAGGUACUCAGUGCCUGGUAGCCACCAUCUUCCACGUCCUCAUCAACAUCAAGACCCUGGAGAAGGUGAGAGGGAACGGAAUCAGGAAGACAGAAGGAGGGGUAACUUCAAAAAAUAAAGGGACACCUUCUCUCAAACUGGAGGGAAGCACAUAUGGAGGUUUUUCUACGUAGAAAAGAUCACAAGAGAAUAAGCAACAAUCACUGACAUCUAUUAUGGCCGCCAGCACAGUGCAAGAUAAUUAUAAGUGUUUUCUCAUGUACUCCUUAAAAUAGUUCUUCAAAGGUACAUGAAGCAAGCAUUAGGAUUUCCUUUGUUUCAGGUGAAGAAAUGACUCAGAGCCUAAGCUCUUUUCCAAAGUCAUAAAGUUAUUUAUUAACAGAAUCAAGACCAGAACCCAGGUUCAUUUAACUAAAAAAAAAAAAAAAGAAGAACAAAAUCUCAUGUUCUUUCUAACACAGCUGGCAGAUUA